CCUACAUGAAGUCGGAAUCGCUAGUAAUCGCGGAUCAGCACGCCGCGGUGAAUACGUUCCCGGGCCUUGUACACACCGCCCGUCACACCACGAGAGUUUGUAACACCCGAAGUCGGUGAGGUAACCGCAAGGAGCCAGCCGCCUAAGGUGGGAUAGAUGAUUGGGGUGAAGUCGUAACAAGGUAGCCGUAUCGGAAGGUGCGGCUGGAUCACCUCCUUU
Molecule: ribosomal RNA, 219 nt
Filed under: Streptococcus sp. SN3
Lineage: Bacteria; Bacillati; Bacillota; Bacilli; Lactobacillales; Streptococcaceae
Description: partial 16S ribosomal RNA
Rfam family: Bacterial small subunit ribosomal RNA
Source: RNAcentral